Molecule: unclassified non-coding RNA, 330 nt
Filed under: soil metagenome
Description: partial contains 5.8S ribosomal RNA, internal transcribed spacer 2, and large subunit ribosomal RNA
Rfam family: 5.8S ribosomal RNA (bases 2-121)
Source: RNAcentral
GGAUGAAGAACGCAGCGAAAUGCGAUAAGUAGUGUGAAUUGCAGAAUUCAGUGAAUCAUCGAAUCUUUGAACGCACAUUGCGCCCCAUGGUAUUCCGUGGGGCAUGCCUGUUCGAGCGUCAUUUACCCCCUCAAGCUCAGCUUGGUAUUGGGCCCCGCCGCUCCGGCGGGCCCUAAAGUCAGUGGCGGUGCCGUCCGGCUCCGAGCGUAGUAAUUCUUCUCGCUCUGGAGGUCCGGUCGUGUGCUCGCCAGCAACCCCCAAUUUUUUUCAGGUUGACCUCGGAUCAGGUAGGGAUACCCGCUGAACUUAAGCAUAUCAAUAAGCGGAGGA